UAUAAAUAAUUCUACUUUGAAACUGCGAAUGGCUCAUUAUAUCAGUUAUAGUUUAUUAGAAAUAAUUUACUACUUGGAUAACCGUAGUAAUUCUAGGGCUAAUACAUGAGUAAAUCCUCGACUUUGAAGAGGUGUGUUUAUUAGUAUGAAAACCAUAUGCUUUUGCAUAAUAGUGAGUAAUAAUAACCUUUCAUAUCGUAUGUUGUAAUAACGAUAGUUCUUUCAAGUUUCUGCCCUAUCAGCUUUCGAUGGUAGUGCAUUGGACUACCAUGGCAGUAACGGGUAACGAAGAAUUUGGGUUCGAUUUCGGAGAGGGAGCCUGAAAGAUGGCUACCACAUCCAAGGAAGGCAGCAGGCGCGUAAAUUACCCAAUCCUGACAUAGGGAGGUAGUGACAAUAAAUCACAAUGCGGGACUUUUAGUUUUGCAAUUGGAUUGAGAACAAUGUAAAAGAGUUAUCGAUAAACAAUUGGAGGGCAAGUCUGGUGCCAGCAGCCGCGGUAAUUCCAGCUCCAAUAGCGUAUAUUAACGUUGUUGCAGUUAAAAA
RNAcentral lists this ribosomal RNA (546 nucleotides) under Blastocystis sp. subtype 14. Its description in RNAcentral is "partial small subunit ribosomal RNA". It matches the Rfam family "Eukaryotic small subunit ribosomal RNA", at positions 64 to 625 of the family's 1831-position model. Lineage: Eukaryota; Bigyra; Opalinata; Blastocystidae. The record is from RNAcentral.